GAUCCUGGCUCAGGAUAAACGCUGGCGGCGUGCUUAACACAUGCAAGUCGAACGGAGUGGUCCUCCCGAAGCGAGACGGUGCUUGCACCUGAUCAAUUCAUUUGGAUCACUUAGUGGCGGACGGGUGAGUAACGCGUGGGUAACCUGCCCUAUACUGGGGGAUAGCAGUUGGAAACGACUGAUAAUACCGCAUAAGCGCACGGUAUCGCAUGAUACAGUGUGAAAAACUCCGGUGGUAUAGGAUGGUCCCGCGUCUGAUUAGCUAGUUGGUGAGGUAACGGCCCACCAAGGCGACGAUCAGUAGCCGGCCUGAGAGGGUGUACGGCCACAUUGGGACUGAGACACGGCCCAAACUCCUACGGGAGGCAGCAGUGGGGAAUAUUGGACAAUGGGGGCAACCCUGAUCCAGCGACGCCGCGUGAGUGAUGAAGUAUCUCGGUAUGUAAAGCUCUAUCAGCAGGAAGAUAUGACGUACCUGACUAAGAGACCGGCUAAAUACGUGCAGCAGCCGCGGGUAAUACGUAUGGUGCAGCGUAUCCCGAUUUCCUGGUUGUAAAGGUGCGUAGUGGCAGUAGUCGAUGUGAACUAUGGCUCCCCCUCAACUGCUUGACUGCAGCUAUGCGGAAGAAGGAUUCUAUGACCGAUCUAAUAAGAAAUGAGCUCGAUACUGCAUGAGAUCGCCUGACGAGCCCUUAAGCAUCGAGGAGACUAGUCUAUGACU
This 721-nucleotide ribosomal RNA is filed under the name uncultured bacterium. RNAcentral describes it as "bacterial SSU rRNA". It matches the Rfam family "Bacterial small subunit ribosomal RNA", at positions 15 to 696 of the family's 1533-position model. The record is from RNAcentral.